GGUAACCUACCCUGUACACACGGAUAACAUACCGAAAGGUAUGCUAAUACGGGAUAAUAUAUUUGAGAGGCAUCUCUUGAAUAUCAAAGGUGAGCCAGUACAGGAUGGACCCGCGUCUGAUUAGCUAGUUGGUAAGGUAACGGCUUACCAAGGCGACGAUCAGUAGCCGACCUGAGAGGGUGAUCGGCCACAUUGGAACUGAGACACGGUCCAAACUCCUACGGGAGGCAGCAGUGGGGAAUAUUGCACAAUGGGCGAAAGCCUGAUGCAGCAACGCCGCGUGAGUGAUGAAGGCCUUCGGGUCGUAAAACUCUGUCCUCAAGGAAGAUAAUGACGGUACUUGAGGAGGAAGCCCCGGCUAACUACGUGCCAGCAGCCGCGGUAAUACGUAGGGGGCUAGCGUUAUCCGGAUUUACUGGGCGUAAAGGGUGCGUAGGCGGUCUUUCAAGUCAGGAGUGAAAGGCUACGGCUCAACCGUAGUAAGCUCUUGAAACUGGGAGACUUGAGUGCAGGAGAGGAGAGUGGAAUUCCUAGUGUAGCGGUGAAAUGCGUAGAUAUUAGGAGGAACACCAGUUGCGAAGGCGGCUCUCUGGACUGUAACUGACGCUGAGGCACGAAAGCGUGGGGAGCAAACAGGAUUAGAUACCCUGGUAGUCCACGCUGUAAAC
Molecule: ribosomal RNA, 668 nt
Filed under: uncultured bacterium
Lineage: Bacteria
Description: bacterial SSU rRNA
Rfam family: Bacterial small subunit ribosomal RNA
Source: RNAcentral